ACAUGCAAGUCGAGGGGCAGCAUGGUCUUAGCUUGCUAAGGCUGAUGGCGACCGGCGCACGGGUGAGUAACACGUAUCCAACCUGCCGUCUACUCUUGGACAGCCUUCUGAAAGGAAGAUUAAUACAAGAUGGCAUCAUGAGUCCGCAUGUUCACAUGAUUAAAGGUAUUCCGGUAGACGAUGGGGAUGCGUUCCAUUAGAUAGUAGGCGGGGUAACGGCCCACCUAGUCUUCGAUGGAUAGGGGUUCUGAGAGGAAGGUCCCCCACAUUGGAACUGAGACACGGUCCAAACUCCUACGGGAGGCAGCAGUGAGGAAUAUUGGUCAAUGGGCGAGAGCCUGAACCAGCCAAGUAGCGUGAAGGAUGACUGCCCUAUGGGUUGUAAACUUCUUUUAUAAAGGAAUAAAGUCGGGUAUGGAUACCCGUUUGCAUGUACUUUAUGAAUAAGGAUCGGCUAACUCCGUGCCAGCAGCCGCGGUAAUACGGAGGAUUCGAGCGUUAUCCGGAUUUAUUGGGUUUAAAGGGAGCGUAGAUGGAUGUUUAAGUCAGUUGUGAAAGUUUGCGGCUCAACCGUAAAAUUGCAGUUGAUACUGGAUAUCUUGAGUGCAGUUGAGGCAGGCGGAAUUCGUGGUGUAGCGGUGAAAUGCUUAGAUAUCACGAAGAACUCCGAUUGCGAAGGCAGCCUGCUAAGCUGCAACUGACAUUGAGGCUCGAAAGUGUGGGUAUCAAACAGGAU
This 736-nucleotide ribosomal RNA is filed under the name uncultured bacterium. RNAcentral describes it as "bacterial SSU rRNA". It matches the Rfam family "Bacterial small subunit ribosomal RNA", at positions 53 to 778 of the family's 1533-position model. The record is from RNAcentral.